Delphinapterus leucas (beluga whale) is the source of this 433-nucleotide non-coding RNA. Lineage: Eukaryota; Metazoa; Chordata; Mammalia; Artiodactyla; Monodontidae. The record is from RefSeq and is a predicted model, not a curated record.
CACUGAAAUGAAUGGAACGUCCGCAAGAUUUAUGUGUCUGCAUGCUUUCUCCCCAGGCCUCGGCAGGCUCAUUUCACACACACCCAGGACACAAGCACCAGGGGCACCAAACAAGUAUGAAAAGACACAGGCUAGAAUCUUGCAACCAUCAGAUGUAGAAAGAUGCUAUUGACACAAAUAUUAGGACCCACGUUCGACUGCAGGAGGUGGACCGUGACGGAGAUAUGCAGUGAGAGCGGCAGGACCCAGAGGAAGGAAGGAGGGAGCUGCUCUUGAAAAGAGACCAAAACCACCGAUGCUCAAGACGAGGUGGUGCCUUUCAUCAGCGUGGAAUCUGAAUAUAGCAGAGCAGUUCUGGAGAGAAUGAAGAGUUCAGUUUGGACGUGUUGAGUUUGAGAUGCAUGUGGACAUCCAGGUGGCGAGCUCUAGUGGC